This 253-nucleotide ribosomal RNA is filed under the name uncultured bacterium. Its description in RNAcentral is "partial 16S ribosomal RNA". It matches the Rfam family "Bacterial small subunit ribosomal RNA", at positions 524 to 776 of the family's 1533-position model. The record is from RNAcentral.
UACGUAGGGGGCUAGCGUUGUCCGGAAUCAUUGGGCGUAAAGAGCGUGUAGGCGGUCCGGUAAGUCCGCUGUGAAAGUCGGGGGCUCAACCCUCGAAUGCCGGUGGAUACUGUCGGGCUAGAGUGCGGAAGAGGCGAGUGGAAUUCCUGGUGUAGCGGUGAAAUGCGCAGAUAUCGGGAGGAACACCAGUGGCGAAGGCGGCACUCUGGGCCGGUACUGACGCUGAGGAGCAAAAGCGUGGGGAGCGAACAGG